This 199-nucleotide long non-coding RNA is filed under the name Prunus persica (peach). RNAcentral's name for it is "long non-coding RNA (PPER_LNC006091)". Lineage: Eukaryota; Viridiplantae; Streptophyta; Magnoliopsida; Rosales; Rosaceae. The record is from RNAcentral.
CAGAAAGGACUAAGACAGCUAAGAAUGACAGCUGUAGAGUUUCUCAAAAUAGUAAGAAAACUAGCCGUUGGACAUAUCCUAUAACAGCUAUUACUAUUAGAGGAAAGUUCUUCAGCUCCUUCGAUUCUUCAUCCUCUUCACUGUCAAUUUGCAGACAUCUGCAGCUUGAUUCAAGGCUAGUAUGCAGCUUAACUCUCAA